RNAcentral lists this ribosomal RNA (497 nucleotides) under uncultured bacterium. Its description in RNAcentral is "partial 16S ribosomal RNA". It matches the Rfam family "Bacterial small subunit ribosomal RNA", at positions 28 to 507 of the family's 1533-position model. The record is from RNAcentral.
GACGAACGUUGGCGGCGUGCCUAAUACAUGCAAGUUGAGCGCUGAAGGUUGGUACUUGUACCAACUGGAUGAGCAGCGAACGGGUGAGUAACGCGUGGGGAAUCUGCCUUUGAGCGGGGGACAACAUUUGGAAACGAAUGCUAAUACCGCAUAAAAACUUUAAACACAAGUUUUAAGUUUGAAAGAUGCAAUUGCAUCACUCAAAGAUGAUCCCGCGUUGUAUUAGCUAGUUGGUGAGGUAAAGGCUCACCAAGGCGAUGAUACAUAGCCGACCUGAGAGGGUGAUCGGCCACAUUGGGACUGAGACACGGCCCAAACUCCUACGGGAGGCAGCAGUAGGGAAUCUUCGGCAAUGGACGAAAGUCUGACCGAGCAACGCCGCGUGAGUGAAGAAGGGUUUCGGAUCGGAAAACUCUGUUGGUAGAGAAGAACGUUGGUGAGAGUGGAAAGCUCAUCAAGUGACGGUAACUACCCAGAAAGGGACGGCUAACUACGUG